GAAAAGAACUUUGAAAAGAGAGUUAAAUAGUACGUGAAAUUGUUGAAAGGGAAACGAUUAAAGUCAGUCAUGUUAGUAGGGAAUCAACUUGUGAUAGUAUGCGAGUUUCUCGUGUCCUUUCCGGUGCACUUCCUUACUUGCAGGUUAGCAUCAAUUUUGGUUAUCAUAUAAAAAUUGAGAGAAGGUGGCUUUUCUUCGGGAAAGUGUUAUAGACCUCGAUAAAUGUGAUGACCGGGAUUGAGGUUUGCAGCGGAUACCCUUUCGGGCUAGUCACCUGGCUUCUGAUGGUUACCCUGUCUUCGAUAGCUUGCUAACGUUGGUGGGACCUGAUCGUCUAGAUGUUAGAGUGAUCAUAAAUUCGCUAAGGAUGCUGACGUAAUGGCUUUAAACGACCCGUCUU
This 400-nucleotide ribosomal RNA is filed under the name uncultured Glomeromycotina. Its description in RNAcentral is "eukaryotic LSU rRNA". It matches the Rfam family "Eukaryotic large subunit ribosomal RNA", at positions 366 to 655 of the family's 3401-position model. The record is from RNAcentral. Lineage: Eukaryota; Fungi; Glomeromycota.